Molecule: ribosomal RNA, 215 nt
Filed under: Gonyaulax spinifera
Lineage: Eukaryota; Dinophyceae; Gonyaulacales; Gonyaulacaceae
Description: partial Bacterial large subunit ribosomal RNA
Rfam family: Bacterial large subunit ribosomal RNA
Source: RNAcentral
GAGGCUUUGAAGCAGGAACGCUAGUUCUUGUGGAGCCAACCUUGAAAUACCACCCUGAUCUGUUUGAGGUUCUAACCUUGACCCAUUAUCUGGGUCGGGGACCGUGCAUGGUGGGCAGUUUGACUGGGGCGGUCUCCUCCUAAAGAGUAACGGAGGAGCUCGAAGGUACGCUAAGUACGGUCGGACAUCGUACUGAUAGUGCAAUGGCAUAAGCG